RNAcentral lists this ribosomal RNA (254 nucleotides) under uncultured bacterium. Its description in RNAcentral is "partial 16S ribosomal RNA". It matches the Rfam family "Bacterial small subunit ribosomal RNA", at positions 524 to 776 of the family's 1533-position model. The record is from RNAcentral.
UACGUAGGGGGCGAGCGUUGUCCGAAGUUACUGGGCGUAAAGCGCGCGUAGGCGGUUCUUUAAGUUUGGGGUGAAAGGUUCAGUGCUCAACGCGAACAGUGCCCUGGAGACUGGAGAACUUGAGUGUGGGAGGGGGCAGUGGAAUUCCUGGUGUAGCGGUGAAAUGCGUAGAUAUCAGGAGGAACACCGGUGGCGAAGGCGGCUGCCUGGCCUAACACUGACGCUGAGGUGCGAAAGCGUGGGGAGCGAACGGG